RNAcentral lists this long non-coding RNA (3033 nucleotides) under Ooceraea biroi (clonal raider ant). RNAcentral's name for it is "uncharacterized LOC105275604". Lineage: Eukaryota; Metazoa; Arthropoda; Insecta; Hymenoptera; Formicidae. The record is from RNAcentral.
ACGAGCGACGGCUAAAACUUGCAGAAGGUUACUUAGAAUGAUGACCUCUAUAACAUAUGUCAAGGUCAUUGACAUUUGCGGGUGCUGACCAUAAGUGAAUAUUUACCAAAAUUCCUUUCGAAGUAAUCAUCCUCGCUCGUGACAGACUCAACUGAGCACGAACUUUCCUGUUCGGCACCCUCUGGCAUCUAAGCCCGUCGCACAAAGGAGCGCACGGAAAAAUCCUUGCGCGGCCCACCCGGUAUGCAUACACGUGCACAACGAUCACACAGACGAGAAGAAUACGGUGCGGCAAGGUGAAAGAGGGAACGGCGCGGCGCGGGCCCCGGGAAGAAGAAGCGAGUUGGUGGGACGAGAACGGUACGCGCCAUGAAAAAGUGAUGAGAGGGAUGAACAUAGCGGGCGGUAAGAGGGACGAGGGGUGGCAGGGGUGUCCGGGGAAACGAACGGGAGACCUUGCACACCGCGGCGGCUGGUAGGGAACGAUGCUUUGUGUCGGAUGGCAGUCGCGUGAAGGGAAGAGCGGGCCUGCCAAUGGCAGGAGGGGGAAAUCGGGAGAGAAAGAGGGGGAGAAGGGGGCAAGAGGGCCCUCAACCGUCUGCGAACCGCGCGCAUAAAGGCCCUCUCAGACGGCUACUUCCCCGGACGAGGUUCCUCCUGUUGCCCCCUCCCUCUCACCCCUGUCCUCCUGGCCCCCCUUCUCGUUCGCCGGGGGACCACGCGCGGAAACCGGAUUGCGUUUUGCGUUUGAAUGCCGGGGGUAUUUUUCGACGCGAUGUGUGUUACUCGAUACGGGUCCCCCGUUCCUCUCGUGCACUUUCGCCCGCGAGAGUAUUUUUAGCCGCGGACCGCGUAUUUUUGACAACGGAUCCGAGGAGUUUGGACCGAUGCCCCUAUUAGAUGCCUCUCCAGAAUCCGCUAGGAAAUAAACGUUGCGAUUUUCGCGCGGCCGAUCGAAAGGAGACGGUGUCGAAGUUCGAUCGAUGUAUCGAAGGACGCAUUAAUGUAGCUUGACGAAACGAAUUACGACACACGUGGAGGGCGCGGUGACGAAAAAAUAAAAAAAGUUGCGCUAGAACGUGCUUUACUCUCUCUCUCUCUCUCUCUCUCUCUCUCUGAACGCUUCUAGCGUGACAUUACGUAGCCGUUGUUUCAAAAUCUUGGUAUAAUUAAAGUAAUUUUCUGUUUUGUAGUUGUAGUUGAGGAUUGCUCAAUGUCUCACUUUCACAUCCUCAAUUUCUGCCUCAUUUCUGCCUCAUUUCUGCCUCAUUUCUGCCUCAGUUUGGAUAUCGGAAUAGUUUUGAUUUUCAAAUCAAUUUUUUACAUAUCGACAGAUAUACAUCAGAAUUAAUUCCGAAGACGUGCCAAUGAUAUAUGAUGAAUACGUUAUGAUUGCAUUUCAAUUCUGCAAGUUACAGCACGUACGCGACGUAUGUAGUGCACACCUGCGAACUGGAAAGCAAAUCGUAACGGUGGGAGCGCGUCAAACGAAGCUCGACGUCGGCGACGACGAAAUCGCCGUGGUACCUUGCGAAAAGCAAAUGACAACGUCAAUUUCUCCCUGCGCUCGAGCAUCAGGCAUUUAACGUCAGUCUCAUUCCGAAGGUGCGAUAUUGACGUAACAUGUGACGGAACGGCUGGCAUCACGCCGGACAAAGGAAGCGCUGGAUCGUGCGGCCCUGCAUAUUUGCAUGGGAACGUACCCACAGGAUCCCGCUCGCGCACAAAGGACGAGAGCGAGCCACCUUUUGCGCGCGCGCAUACUCGCGCGAGCGAUUGCACAUUCGUGCUCGCGCGCUCGCCCGUGUAUGUACCGCGGCCCGUAUGGACCGUGAAUGUAUACGUGUAUGUGUUCCUUUUGCAUCAGCGGGAGGUACGUGCCAGGAAGAGAAAAAGAGGAAGAAAUAGAGAGAGAAAGAGAGAGAAUGAGAGAAAGAAAGGAAGGGAGAAAGAGAGAUAGAGAGUCUCAGGGUUACGUUAAAAAAAAUGUAGGCUCAAGGAUACCGCCGGCAGAGGAUGCGCCGUUUUCUCGUGGGGUAGAAUCGUUACUUUCCAUUUCGCGAGGGUUGCGCGAACCCUUCCCGCCCGAGAAACGGGCAGGGACACCGCCGACUUCCUCGUUCGGGUCUGUUCUCGGCUCGGGGCAGAUUUAACAUCGGGAAUAGAGGGUACCGGAUCAAGGUACGGGGACAGGAGUGUUUUAUGGGUCGCAGAUUUAUCCUGAUAAAGUCAGCUGGUUACGAACCUGCUCGCGCAGGAGUAGAUUCCAGAUACUGAGUUACACGGAGUUGCAACAGUCCAAGUUAACGAAUCCUGAGUCAGCCGUUCCCGCGGAUUUAAUCAUAUUAGUGUCGGUUAGCAUAACUCGAUUCCACGUUUCUGCUUGGUUUGCAUCUGUUGUGCCAUAAUUUACGAAAAAGAAGAAAAAUAGCUCGAGCCGUCAAAUCUGUUUCAAUUUAUUGCAAUGUCUUCGAUGUGAAGAGUUGAUUUGAAAUGUAAUUGAAAGUUUAUCUGUUUGAAAUAUAACAGGAUUGAUCUUGCUGAAUUCCGAUAUGAAGCUUCUUUACUUUCUACUUGCAUCGCUUUUUUUCAAGCUUCUAAGCAUCUAAGCGGAAAACAUAUUGCUCAUCGAUUCGUCGUACAUAAUUAUUAAUGACCCACUUAUCUAGGCACGCUUAUCAUGCAUCGCCAUCAUCAGAGAUAAUCAUGCAAUUUCAUAUUUGUUAUAUACAGUCAUAUGUGAUUGUAAUGUACUUGUUUCCUGCUAUAUAAUCUAUACCCGUUUAUGCUAUAUGUAUGCAUAUAUCUUUGACGAUUAUUAUUUUCUAAGGUUGAAGUUAAUUUCAUCAAAUGGCGAGUAAAUUAAAACGUUUGUUUUAGAACUGUCGUGAUCGUUUGGAAAGAAAGCUACUAACAAUUUAAUCUUUUUAAUGGCGCAGAGCGAUUAUUUUAAAUUGCUUGCUAUUUUAUCGAGUCGCCCACGAUAUCACGUUAUGCCCUCAAGGUUAACAUCGCCCAACACUUUUCAUUCCC